Molecule: long non-coding RNA, 1306 nt
Organism: Sycon ciliatum
Lineage: Eukaryota; Metazoa; Porifera; Calcarea; Leucosolenida; Sycettidae
Exons: 2
Source: RefSeq, a predicted model, not a curated record
GCCAGCUCACUGGGUAUGGCUACUUGUCUUUACCGUUUACGAGCGGGCAAGGGAUUAUUCAUGAGUAAGCGCAGCUCUGAGGGAAAAUAAAAAUUAAUUAUUCUCCGUCACCAGGUCACCGGUCUGGUCGGGUCGAAAGGGUGCAUGAAAGCGAAACGCUGAUCAGCAAGCUACGAUGUUUCUGCGACCGCGUGGUUGUUUGGUCGCAGCCGCUGAACAAAAGUUACAUGCAUAGGCAAGCGCCUCUACCGAGAUCAGAACAAGCAACAACAUGCGCUACAGUACCGCCUCCGGAUGUGGACGGGUAUAUAAGUUAUGGUUCCAUGCGAGCGGCAGUUCUACUUCUCAUUUCUCUCUCUGCUUCUGUAGUGUACAUGUAGUGACGGUGGAUCGUUGCUACUCGUACGUACUGCUGUCCAGACCAAGACAAACAUCCCAGCAGGUACUUGCAGUAUCUGUUUGCCACUUACACUCUAAAUCCACGGGGACCAGACUGCAAAGCCAGACGGUAAAAGACGCCUAGAAGAUCGCAAAGGGCAGGUGAUAUCAAUAGGUUGUCUUCGUGGAGCAACCCCAUCAGCCAUGCCAACCUAUUACAAGUGGAUCAGCAUCUGUCCCGUGGAAGACUGUUAUGAUUAUGACUAUUCACCCUCCACAUGGACAAUUAAUAAAUGCGGCGGAACCUCGUACCUGGGCGACAACGGAAUGUUCGUGUGCGGCCACAUGGUGUCCGGAACGCAGAAAGUCUAUUCCUGCUCCCGGGGCACCACCGAGUUUGCCUUCUUCUCGUCCGGCUUCAGCUGCGAACGGCAUGGAGACAUCUAUAAGAGAGUGGAGCGGCCUGAGACGAUCGUUGCUGCCAUGCAUGCUGUGGCUGAGAUGAUAUCCAGCACACGUCCAGAUGGUGUGGAUAGCCAAGUGUUCCGGAGAUGGCUGCGAGCCACCACCGCCUCAAUUCUCAAGCAGUACACCUGAGUGCUUGAUCAGACAAUAAUGAUUCUUAUUGUUCCCAGUGAAUUUAAAAAAUACAUGAACACACCAAACACACACACACACACACACACACACACACACACACACACACACACACACAUCAUACACGCAACAUACACACAAUGACACACACACACACACACACACACGCACACACAGACCUCAGUGAAAACAUAAUUUUUCCUUGUCCAAUGCAUCAUCUAGAAUUGUUAUUGCUUGCGUUCUUUCUCAUUGAUAUUCUGUAUUCCUGGUUUUCCGCUUGCGUGUUGAAAACAACACCUAUUCAGGAAGAAAAGGCUGCCCGUAAUUUUCA